AGAGUUUUAAGUUAAAUUAAACUGUAAAUUUUCAAGGUUUAUAAUAAAUAAAUUUAUUUAAAUUCUG
This 67-nucleotide transfer RNA is filed under the name Graneledone verrucosa. RNAcentral describes it as "tRNA-Trp". Lineage: Eukaryota; Metazoa; Mollusca; Cephalopoda; Octopoda; Octopodidae. The record is from RNAcentral.